GAUGAACGCUGGCGGCGUGCCUAAUACAUGCAAGUCGAGCGAACAGACGAGGAGCUUGCUCCUCUGACGUUAGCGGCGGACGGGUGAGUAACACGUGGAUAACCUACCUAUAAGACUGGGAUAACUUCGGGAAACCGGAGCUAAUACCGGAUAAUAUAUUGAACCGCAUGGUUCAAUAGUGAAAGACGGUUUUGCUGUCACUUAUAGAUGGAUCCGCGCCGCAUUAGCUAGUUGGUAAGGUAACGGCUUACCAAGGCAACGAUGCGUAGCCGACCUGAGAGGGUGAUCGGCCACACUGGAACUGAGACACGGUCCAGACUCCUACGGGAGGCAGCAGUAGGGAAUCUUCCGCAAUGGGCGAAAGCUUGACGGAGCAACGCCGCGUGAGUGAUGAAGGUCUUCGGAUCGUAAAACUCUGUUAUUAGGGAAGAACAAAUGUGUAAGUAACUAUGCACGCCUUGACGGUACCUAAUCAGAAAGCCACGGCUAACUACGU
This 496-nucleotide ribosomal RNA is filed under the name uncultured bacterium. Its description in RNAcentral is "partial 16S ribosomal RNA". It matches the Rfam family "Bacterial small subunit ribosomal RNA", at positions 28 to 506 of the family's 1533-position model. The record is from RNAcentral.